UACGGAGGGUGCGAGCGUUAAUCGGAAUUACUGGGCGUAAAGCGUGCGUAGGCGGUUCAUUAAGUCAGAUGUGAAAUCCCGGGGCUCAACCUCGGAACUGCAUUUGAAACUGGUGAACUAGAGUACUGUAGAGGGUGGUGGAAUUUCCAGUGUAGCGGUGAAAUGCGUAGAGAUUGGAAGGAACAUCAGUGGCGAAGGCG
RNAcentral lists this ribosomal RNA (200 nucleotides) under uncultured bacterium. Its description in RNAcentral is "partial 16S ribosomal RNA". It matches the Rfam family "Bacterial small subunit ribosomal RNA", at positions 524 to 723 of the family's 1533-position model. The record is from RNAcentral.